This 449-nucleotide ribosomal RNA is filed under the name uncultured bacterium. RNAcentral's name for it is "partial 16S ribosomal RNA". It matches the Rfam family "Bacterial small subunit ribosomal RNA", at positions 338 to 795 of the family's 1533-position model. The record is from RNAcentral.
CCUACGGGUGGCUGCAGUGGGGAAUUUUGGACAAUGGGGGCAACCCUGAUCCAGCCAUUCCGCGUGAGUGAAGAAGGCCUUCGGGUUGUAAAGCUCUUUUGUCCGGAGCGAAACGGGCGGCCCUAAUACGGUCGUCUACUGACGGUACCGGAAGAAUAAGCACCGGCUAACUACGUGCCAGCAGCCGCGGUAAUACGUAGGGUGCGAGCGUGAAUCGGGAUUACUGGGGCGGGAGCGUACGCAGGAGGUUAAAUCCCCGGGCUCAACCUGGGAAUGGCAUUUGUGACUGCAAGGCUGGAGUGUGGCAGAGGGGACUAGAAUUCCUGGUGUAGCAGUGAAAUGCGUAGAUAUCAGGAGGAAUACCGAUGGCGAAGGCAGGUCCCUGGGUUAACACUGACGCUCAAGCACGAAAGCGUGGGGAGCAAACAGGAUUAGAUACCCUAGUAGUC